RNAcentral lists this ribosomal RNA (330 nucleotides) under uncultured bacterium. RNAcentral describes it as "bacterial SSU rRNA". It matches the Rfam family "Bacterial small subunit ribosomal RNA", at positions 568 to 898 of the family's 1533-position model. The record is from RNAcentral.
CGCGUAGGCGGAUGCUUAAGUUAGAGGUGAAAGCCCAGGGCUCAACCUUGGAACUGCCUUUGAUACUGGGCAUCUUGAGUACGGGAGAGGUGAGUGGAACUCCGAGUGUAGAGGUGAAAUUCGUAGAUAUUCGGAAGAACACCAGUGGCGAAGGCGACUCACUGGCCCGUUACUGACGCUGAGGCGCGAAAGCGUGGGGAGCAAACAGGAUUAGAUACCCUGGUAGUCCACGCUGUAAACGAUGAGUGCUAGUUGUCGGCAUGCACGCAUGUCGGUGACGCAGCUAACGCAUUAAGCACUCCGCCUGGGGAGUACGGUCGCAAGAUUAAA